CAAAGCACAACGUGGGAAAAACAGCUAGGAAUCGGUGUUCAUCUUUUGAAACUUGACCUCAAAUCAGGUAGGACUACCCGCUGAACUUAAGCAUAUCAAUAAGCGGAGGAAAAGAAACUAACAAGGAUUCCCCCUAGUAACUGCGAGUGAAGCGGGAAAAGCUCAAAUUUUGAAUCUGGCGGUCCCCGUGCCCGUCCGAGUUGUAAUCUAGAGAAGCGUCUUCCGCGCUGGACCGUGUACAAGUCUCCUGGAAGGGAGCGUCAUAGAGGGUGAGAAUCCCGUCUUUGACACGGACUACCAGCGCUAUGUGAUGCGCUCUCGACGAGUCGAGUUGUUUGGGAAUGCAGCUCAAAACGGGUGGUAAAUUCCAUCUAAAGCUAAAUACAGGCGAGAGACCGAUAGCGAACAAGUACCGUGAGGGAAAGAUGAAAAGAACUUUGGAAAGAGAGUUAAACAGUACGUGAAAUUGCUGAAAGGGAAACGCUUGAUGUCAGUCGCGUCCGCCGGGGAUCAACCUUGCUUUCGCGCUCGGUGUAUUUCCUGGCUGACGGGUCAGCAUCAGUUUCGAUCGUCGUACAAUGGCAAAGGGAACGUGGCACUCUUCGGAGUGUGUUAUAGCUUUUUGUCGCAUGCGGCGCUCGGGACUGAGGAACUCGGCACGACUCCGUUUGGUCUAGGAUGCUGGCAUAAUGGCCUUAAGCGACCCGUCUG
Molecule: ribosomal RNA, 711 nt
Filed under: uncultured Boletaceae
Lineage: Eukaryota; Fungi; Basidiomycota; Agaricomycetes; Boletales; Boletaceae
Description: eukaryotic LSU rRNA
Rfam family: Eukaryotic large subunit ribosomal RNA
Source: RNAcentral